Misgurnus anguillicaudatus (oriental weatherfish) is the source of this 409-nucleotide non-coding RNA. The record is from RefSeq and is a predicted model, not a curated record. NCBI's taxonomy places the organism in Eukaryota, Metazoa, Chordata, Actinopteri, Cypriniformes, Cobitidae.
CACUAUGUUGUAUUCGUUUAAAAAAACGGCGCCAAGAAAGAAAGGACAUGCGCAUUGUUCUCCUGAGCCAGUUAACGUAGAGCUGGUACAUUGCUGUCUUCACUGGAGUGCUGCAAGCUCGAAGUGUGGCUGCAGCACUUCUCGCUCGUAACGUGAAACUUAAAAACACGCCAAGGAGUGGAUGCAAGUGAACUAUCAAUCUACUGAAACAGAAGCGGGAAAUGUAUUCGAAGACGAAAAUGCUCGCGCGACCUGUGCGUCAGACCCGGAUAAACGCACGCGAGCUGACAAAAUCCUGAGUAGCUGUUAUUCAACAUAAACACAUUUCCGCACACAUGAAGAUGGAUGACGAUAGUUCAUCUUAAAAUGAAACUUAUGUUUAUCAGCUUACCCCCAGGCCAUCUAAGAG